AUGUCUGAGGAGCUUGCAGCCUUAGAGCGUACUGGUACAUGGGAUUUGGUACCAUUACCUCCUCGUUCAGUCCCUAUCACUUGCAAAUGGGUGUAUACGGUUAAAACCAAGUCAAAUGGUUCUGUGGAACGCUACAAGGCUCGCCUUGUUGCAAGAGGUUUUCAGCAGUCUCAUGGGAAAGAUUAUGAUGAGACGUUUGCUCCUGUUGCUCACAUGACUUCAGUUCGAACUCUAAUUGCUGUGGCUGCUACUCGGUCAUGGAAAAUUUACCACAUGGAUGUGAAGAACGCCUUCCUUCAUGGUGAUUUACAUGAGGAGGUUUAUAUGCAGCCACCUCCAGGUAUCAAGGUUCCAUUAGGUCAUGUUUGUCGUCUUCGAAAGGCUCUUUAUGGGCUUAAGCAAGCCCCUCGUGCCUGGUUUGAGCGGUUCAGUUCUGUGAUUCAAGCUGCCGGUUUUUCUCCUAGCGAACAUGACCCUGCACUCUUCAUUCAUACAUCUGAGCAUGGCCGUACAUUGCUUCUACUUUAUGUAGAUGACAUGUUGAUCACUGGAGAUGAUGUUGGGUAUAUUGAUUUUGUUAAGAAAAAAUUGAGUGAACAAUUUAAGAUGUCAGAUUUGGGGUCUCUCAGCUAUUUUCUCGGGAUUGAGGUUGAGCACACCGAUGAUGGUUACUAUAUCUCCCAGCAAAAGUACACUCAGGAUUUGAUUCUUCGCUCAGGUCUCACUGACACGCGCAUUGCUGCUACACCUAUGGAGCUUCAUCUGCAGUUGCGUCCUACUGAUGGCACUCCUCUUGAGGAUCCCUCUCGCUACCGUCACAUCGUCGGCAGUCUAGUGUACCUCACAGUGACCAGACCUGACAUCGCACAUGCAGUCCAUAUUCUCAGUCAAUUUGUCUGUGCUCCCACCUCAGUUCAUCAUGGUCACCUAUUCCGAGUCCUUAGGUAUUUAAGGGGAACUACAUCUCGCCGCUUGUUCUAUGCUAAUUCCAGUCAGCUCCAGCUUCAUGCUUACUCUGAUUCCACUUGGGCGAGUGAUCCUAUUGAUCGUCGCUCGGUCACUGGCUAUUGCAUAUUUCUUGGUACAUCUCUCAUUGCAUGGAAAUCAAAGAAGCAAACUGCCGUGUCUCGCUCCAGCGCCGAGGCAGAGCUUAGGGCUCUCUCUACUACUACAACAGAGAUUGUAUGGCUUCGCUGGCUAUUGGAUGAUCUUGGUGUCUUAUGUCAUACACCAACACCUCUUCUUUGUGACAGCACUGCUGCUAUUCAGAUUGCUAAUGACCCAGUCAAGCAUGAGUUGACCAAACACAUUGGUGUGGAUGCAUUUUUCACUCGAUCUCAUUGUCAACAAUCCACUGUUAAGCUACAAUAUGUCCCAUCAGAGCUUCAAGUCGCAGAUUUCUUCACCAAGGCACAAACUAGAGAUCAGCAUAGGUUUCACACUCUCAAACUUGGUGUAUCAGAUGCUCCUGACCCACCUUAA
RNAcentral lists this ribosomal RNA (1482 nucleotides) under Triticum aestivum (bread wheat). Its description in RNAcentral is "partial small subunit ribosomal RNA". Lineage: Eukaryota; Viridiplantae; Streptophyta; Magnoliopsida; Poales; Poaceae. The record is from RNAcentral.